This 3718-nucleotide long non-coding RNA is filed under the name Nicotiana benthamiana. Its description in RNAcentral is "long non-coding RNA (NBEN_LNC007524)". The record is from RNAcentral. Lineage: Eukaryota; Viridiplantae; Streptophyta; Magnoliopsida; Solanales; Solanaceae.
UACACAUAGCAUACAUCUGCUUUCAUUUUUAAUUUAAGUGGCUAUCCAACAAUACAUUCAGCAACGUCUUCCUAUUGAAGUCGUUUGCAAUUAUAGACAACUCAUUUGAAGAAAUGCACUUAAAACCAUACUUACACACUGCAACUGCUUACAAUUCAGAAAUGUAUUAGCAUAACCAUGUACCUUCAUAAAAGCUUAUAGAGAUAACCUUGAACCCAACGACAACUUAAAGGUCCACUGUAAUAGUGAAGCAUUCCAGUUGUUGCUAUGCACGAAAAUAGACAGAGAAACACACUCAAGAUAUUUGUUUUUGCUAGGAAACAGUAAAAUUUGUGUAUAACAAUUUGUAGUACAAGGUUGAACAGUAGAGGAUGCCAUUACUUCAUUAGUUGACGAGAAGUCGAGAACUUCUCAAAUUACAGGAUGAUCAAAGGGCCUUACACUUCAAUUUUCUACAGAGAUUCUAUAAACUUAAAACUAACAUACUCAAAUCUCUUCCUGAUGAUCCGAAAUGAUACUCUCUCAAACUUAGCAAGGUGAAAAUCUAGUCGGUAUCCAUUUUCUCUUCCUUCUCAAUGCUUUUGCCUGACCAUAGCUUGAUUGUUCGAUCAUGAGAUACAGUGACAAUGUGUUGCCCAUCUGAAUAAAAUAGAAGAGAAAUAGACAAAUAAGCAUAUGCGAAACGUGAAAUAAUGUGUUGCCCAUCUGAAAAAAUAGAAGAGAAACACACAAAUAAGCAUAUGCGAAACAUGAAACAAAGGCUUGAGAUUCGAGAAAUAUCAACAUUUUCUUUUGGCACAGGGUGAGGUAAGAUGGGAUAAGCCAAAGUCACGGGACCUACAAGCCUCAUUCGGUGCCUCAAAAAGUUUCAAGUUAAACAGGUUAUUGAUUAAAACUAAGAAAAGUAUUGCAAAACAGAAUUCCAAACAAACUUAAGGGACCAGCAUUAAAUAACUAAAUUCCUACAAGGUGAUAGCUGAAAGGGAGAGAAAGUAGCAAAUGCUUCACAUUCAUUCAAAUGACUGCUCGGGUACGAGGCAUUGUCAAAACACCAGACUUAUUCAUAUAAUUUUCUGGGUCCUGCUUGGAAAAAUUCGGAGGGUGAGGUACUCAUGAUGGUAAAUCUUGAGGGAGUGGCAAUGUGCCAAAUUAUAAGGUAUGAUUAACAUUGAAACAUUAGUAUAACGAAAAAAGAAGAUGAGGGACAAGAUUUGGUCCAAUAAUCAGAGAUAAGCCUUACUAAUCAAGGGUGUGGUAUGACAUAUAAUUGCAAUCACGAGGCAUGACAUCCCACACAGAAAACAGAACUAACACCAAUAGCUACAGAGUCUUAAAGUCCCAGGUUCAUGCAUUAUAUCGCUGUGCGACUUAAACAGUAGAUGAGACAAACACAACAAUUCUAUUUUGCUGUCUGAGCAGUUUAAGAAUUUAUUUUGCUCAGAUUAUGCCCUAUCUUUAUUUAUCCGGAAUAUCUAGUUGGUCAUUUCUCUUCGACUUAUGCAAUUCAUCCCACAGACAAAAUAAAGAAUUGUUAACUCAUCUCCCUCAAGUUUUCAGCCUUGUUCUGUGAGUUUUGACAGAUUUUUUAAACUAAUCAGCCUAGUGAACACUCGUGCAGCAUAUUAAAAGGAAAAAUAAUGCUCAAUGUUCAGAUCAACUGUAGAAAGUGGAUGGAACAACUAAAAGUUGCACCAAAAUAGUACAUGACAAAGAUUCAUGUGUGGUGGUUGGGAGNNNNNNNNNNNNNNNNNNNNNNNNNNNNNNNNNNNNNNNNNNNNNNNNNNNNNNNNNNNNNNNNNNNNNNNNNNNNNNNNNNNNNNNNNNNNNNNNCAAGCAGUCUAAUUUUCAGUCAUGUGGCAAUGUAACAGUGAAAGCACCAAUCUACACAAAUACAAACAUAGUAGCAAUGUCCAAAUUUGUAGGUCCCACGGAGGGCUGCUUCAUUGGGAUUUGAGAUUUAGGAGGAACCUACAGGAUUGGGAGAUGGAAGAAUUUCACAAUCUAGCCGAGUUAUUAUAUGAGUUGGAUACACCGAAUAAUGUAUCGUAUGUAUGGAGAUGGCGGGAGAGUAAAAAUGGGUUAUUCACGGUUAAAUCUUAUUAUAAGAGGUUAUUAGUAGGAGUCUGGGAGAGGAACAAGUUUUCCCUCAUUAAUCUAUUUGGAUUCCCAGAGCACCAAGAAAGAUGUGUUUCUUUGUAAGGUUGGCGGCGAGGGAAGCGAUUUUGAUAGCGGAAAAUCUGAGAAAGAGAAGGAUCACCUAUAACUUGGACAUUGCUAUCAAAAUUGAAAAUUGUAGUACAUUAGUGCAUUCAUAGUUACAUUGUCUACUCAGUUGCAAAAUUUGUACAUUGCUACAAAAAUACAAACAUAGUAGCAAUGUCCAAAUUUUGCAACUGAGUAGACAAUGUAACUAUGAAUGCACCAAUGUACUACAAUUUUCAAUUUUGAUAAAUUCCAUUGUCAGCAUAUGAGCAAAAUCAAGGAAAUAACCAAGCAUAUACGCCUCAAAAAUUAUAAAAGAGAUCCUAAAAUCAGAGUUAGCUUGGAGAAAGGGGGUUCAAAUGUUCAAUUGGACCCAGUUAGCUAGGAGAAAGGGGGUUCAAAUGUUCAAUUGAACCCACUGGUCAAAAGAUUAUACUAUGCAAACAAAGUAAAAGAGAAAUUUUUUAUUACAUUUACACUUUUGAAUCCCACUAACGUAGAUGAAAAUUCCAGUGAAGUGGUAAAGGGCAAGGGUGGAUCUAUAGUGUUAGCGACAAGUUCAUGAAAAUCCAAUAGCUUUUGUUCAAACCCCGUAUAUGUAUUAAGAAAUCCAAUAAGUACCUAUAAAUAUUUUAUUGUGUACCCAGUUAUUACUAUAUAUAAACUUAAGGUCGUUAUAGGGACCAAUAAACUUCAAAUACUAGAUGCACCUAUGUUAAGAGAGGUCCAAAAGCUGCUUUUAAGUCAUAAGUUCAAACUUAAAUUAUGACAUUCUAGUAUUUUUUGAGUCUCUUUAUUUAAAUCACCAGCUCCGCCACUACCUAUAAUGACCCAAAGUUUACAAUUGGAGAAAUCCCUCUUCUAAAACCCAUGCUUCAGCAUCAGGGACAAAGCUAGAAUGCUGGUUACGAGCCACUAGCUUUAGUUUAAACACUGUAUUUUCUUAAAAAAUCCAUUAAAAAUAUACAAAUUAUUAAUUUAGAACCCCGUAACUUAAAAAGAACUAGAAUCUCGAACUCGUAAGCUUCAAAUCCUGGCUUUGUUGCAUAUAUGUAAUCUGUAUGGAACCUCACACAAAUUUUAUAAUCAACAAUAAUCUUAUACUAACGUAUUUCACCACAAUAAUCAAAGCUGUGCGAUUCACAUUGGCUCGAAAUAGGAAUUAGUUUUUACAAUGGAAGCCGAUAAACAGAGAGAGUGAAAGGAGAAACUUACGGAGCUCGCCGGAAGAUGCUGCCAGGGGUUGCAACGAGAGGCGGAUUGGCGGUGGCGGUGGCGGUGGCGGUGGCGGUGGCGGUGGCGCUCCGGCGGAGGGCAGUAGGGAGGGUUUAUCAACGAGGAGAAAAUAUAUGAGAAUAUAAUGCUGAAGGUUUAAAGAAAUGUAAUUGAAAAAGCUAAGGUGGGCGUUUGGACGUAAGAAUGGUAAAAUUCCGGAAAAUAGUGGGGGAAAAUUUAAAUAUGUUAUGAAAUAAUAUAAGAACAAGAAUAAUAGAGAGAAAAGUAGAGAGAGGAGUAU